AGAGUUUGAUCCUGGCUCAGGACGAACGCUGGCGGCGCGCCUAACACAUGCAAGUCGAACGGAGAAGAUCUUUCGGGAUCUUCUGAGUGGCGGACGGGUGAGUAACGCGUGAGCAAUCUGCCUUUCAGAGGGGGAUAAUGUCUGGAAACGGACACUAAUACCGCAUAACAUAUAGGGACUGCAUGGUUCUUAUAUCAAAGGAGAAAUCCGCUGAGAGAUGAGCUCGCGUCCAAUUAGGUAGAUGGUGAGGUAACGGCCCACCAUGCCGACGAUUGGUAGCCGGACUGAGAGGUUGAACGGCCACAUUGGGACUGAGACACGGCCCAGACUCCUACGGGAGGCAGCAGUGGGGGAUAUUGCACAAUGGGGGAAACCCUGAUGCAGCGACGCCGCGUGAGGGAAGAAGGUUUUCGGAUUGUAAACCUCUGUCCUAAGGGACGAAGGAAGACGGUACCGUAGGAGGAAGCCACGGCUAACUACGUGCCAGCAGCCGCGGUAAUACGUAGGUGGCAAGCGUUGUCCGGAAUUACUGGGUGUAAAGGGAGCGUAGGCGGCAGAGCAAGUUGAAUGUGAAAGCCCGGGGCUUAACCCCGUGAUGCGUUCAAAACUGUCCUGCUUGAGUGAAGUAGAGGCAAUCGGAAUUCCUAGUGUAGCGGUGAAAUGCGUAAAUAUUAGGAGGAACACCAGUGGCGAAGGCGGAUUGCUGGGCUUUAACUGACGCUGAGGCUCGAAAGCGUGGGUAGCAAACAGGAUUAGAUACCCUGGUAGUCCACGCGGUAAACGAUGAUUACUAGGUGUGGGGGGAAGAACCCUUCCGUGCCGGAGUUAACACAAUAAGUAAUCCACCUGGGGAGUACGACCGCAAGGUUGAAACUCAAAGAAAUUGACGGGGGCCCGCACAAGCAGUGGAGUAUGUGGUUUAAUUCGACGCAACGCGAAGAACCUUACCAGGUCUUGACAUCGUGUGCAUAGUAUAGAGAUAUAUGAAGUUGUUCUUCGGAACGACACACAGACAGGUGGUGCAUGGUUGUCGUCAGCUCGUGUCGUGAGAUGUUGGGUUAAGUCCCGCAACGAGCGCAACCCUUACGGUCAGUUGCUACUGAGAAGAGCACUCUGGCAGGACUGCCGUUGACAAAACGGAGGAAGGUGGGGAUGACGUCAAAUCAUCAUGCCCUUUAUGACCUGGGCUACACACGUACUACAAUGGCUAAGAACAGAGAGAAGCGACACAGCGAUGUGAAGCAAACCUCGAAAAAUAGUCUCAGUUCAGAUUGCAGGCUGCAACUCGCCUGCAUGAAGUCGGAAUUGCUAGUAAUCGCAGAUCAGCAUGCUGCGGUGAAUACGUUCNCCGGGCCUUGUACACACCGCCCGUC
RNAcentral lists this ribosomal RNA (1373 nucleotides) under uncultured bacterium. RNAcentral's name for it is "bacterial SSU rRNA". It matches the Rfam family "Bacterial small subunit ribosomal RNA". The record is from RNAcentral.